Molecule: ribosomal RNA, 301 nt
Filed under: uncultured bacterium
Lineage: Bacteria
Description: partial 16S ribosomal RNA
Rfam family: Bacterial small subunit ribosomal RNA
Source: RNAcentral
CAGCCGCCGCGGGAAUACGGAGGGUGCAAGCGUUAUCCGGAUUUAUUGGGUUUAAAGGGUCCGUAGGCGGAUCUGUAAGUCAGUGGUGAAAUCUCACAGCUUAACUGUGAAACUGCCAUUGAUACUGCAGGUCUUGAGUAAAUUUGAAGUGGCUGGAAUAAGUAGUGUAGCGGUGAAAUGCAUAGAUAUUACUUAGAACACCAAUUGCGAAGGCAGGUCACUAAGAUUUAACUGACGCUGAUGGACGAAAGCGUGGGGAGCGAACAGGAUUAGAUACCCGUGUAGUCCCUGUCUCUUAUAC